This 1365-nucleotide ribosomal RNA is filed under the name uncultured bacterium. RNAcentral describes it as "bacterial SSU rRNA". It matches the Rfam family "Bacterial small subunit ribosomal RNA", at positions 28 to 1381 of the family's 1533-position model. The record is from RNAcentral.
GAUGAACGCUGGCGGCGUGCCUAAUACAUGCAAGUCGAGCGAACGGACGAGAAGCUUGCUUCUCUGAUGUUAGCGGCGGACGGGUGAGUAACACGUGGAUAACCUACCUAUAAGACUGGGAUAACUUCGGGAAACCGGAGCUAAUACCGGAUAAUAUUUUGAACCGCAUGGUUCAAAAGUGAAAGACGGUCUUGCUGUCACUUAUAGAUGGAUCCGCGCUGCAUUAGCUAGUUGGUAAGGUAACGGCUUACCAAGGCAACGAUGCAUAGCCGACCUGAGAGGGUGAUCGGCCACACUGGAACUGAGACACGGUCCAGACUCCUACGGGAGGCAGCAGUAGGGAAUCUUCCCCGCAUGGGCGAAGCCUGACGGAGCAACGCCGCGUGAGUGAUGAAAGUCUUCGGAUCGUNAAACUCUGUUAUUAGGGAAGACAUAUGUGUAAGUAACUGUGCACAUCUUGACNGUACCUAAUCAGAAAGCACGGGCUACUACGUGCCAGCAGCCGCGGUAUACGUAGGUGGCAGCGUAUUCGGAAUUAUGGGGCGUAAGCGCGCGUAGGCGGUUUUUUAGUCUGAUGUGAAAGCCCACGGCUCAACCGUGGAGGGUCAUUGGAAACUGGAAAACUUGAGUGCAGAAGAGGAAAGUGGAAUUCCAUGUGUAGCGGUGAAAUGCGCAGAGAUAUGGAGGAACACCAGUGGCGAAGGCGACUUUCUGGUCUGUAACUGACGCUGAUGUGCGAAAGCGUGGGGAUCAAACAGGAUUAGAUACCCUGGUAGUCCACGCCGUAAACGAUGAGUGCUAAGUGUUAGGGGGUUUCCGCCCCUUAGUGCUGCAGCUAACGCAUUAAGCACUCCGCCUGGGGAGUACGACCGCAAGGUUGAAACUCAAAGGAAUUGACGGGGACCCGCACAAGCGGUGGAGCAUGUGGUUUAAUUCGAAGCAACGCGAAGAACUUUACCAAAUCUUGACAUCCUUUGACAACUCUAGAGAUAGAGCCUUCCCCUUCGGGGGACAAAGUGACAGGUGGUGCAUGGUUGUCGUCAGCUCGUGUCGUGAGAUGUUGGGUUAAGUCCCGCAACGAGCGCAACCCUUAAGCUUAGUUGCCAUCAUUAAGUUGGGCACUCUAAGUUGACUGCCGGUGACAAACCGGAGGAAGGUGGGGAUGACGUCAAAUCAUCAUGCCCCUUAUGAUUUGGGCUACACACGUGCUACAAUGGACAAUACAAAGGGCAGCGAAACCGCGAGGUCAAGCAAAUCCCAUAAAGUUGUUCUCAGUUCGGAUUGUAGUCUGCAACUCGACUACAUGAAGCUGGAAUCGCUAGUAAUCGUAGAUCAGCAUGCUACGGUGAAUACGUUCCCGGGUCU